RNAcentral lists this ribosomal RNA (253 nucleotides) under uncultured bacterium. RNAcentral describes it as "partial 16S ribosomal RNA". It matches the Rfam family "Bacterial small subunit ribosomal RNA", at positions 524 to 776 of the family's 1533-position model. The record is from RNAcentral.
UACGGAGGGUGCGAGCGUUGUUCGGAAUCACUGGGCGUAAAGCGCAUGUAGGCGGUCUCCUAAGUCUGAUGUGAAAGCCCGGGGCUCACCCCCGGAAGUGCAUUGGAACCUGGUAGACUGGAGUCCCGGAGAGGAGGGUGGAAUUCCUGGUGUAGCGGUGAAAUGCGUAGAUAUCAGGAGGAACACCGGUGGCGAAGGCGGCCCUCUGGACGGUGACUGACGCUGAGACGCGAAAGCGUGGGGAGCAAACAGG